This 203-nucleotide long non-coding RNA is filed under the name Panax ginseng (ginseng). RNAcentral describes it as "long non-coding RNA (PGIN_LNC015091)". Lineage: Eukaryota; Viridiplantae; Streptophyta; Magnoliopsida; Apiales; Araliaceae. The record is from RNAcentral.
UUCAUAUUCAUUACACACAUAACUUUUAAUCCCUUAGGGUUUUAUACAAAACAUUAGGAUUUCUAAUUUAACAAUUAGGGUUGUCCCUAAUAUAUAAUCACAAAUACUUAAGCCAUUAUAUUUAGCCUUUGACUUCCCAAAUUAGGGUUUCAAAUACUGAAUUAGGAUUUCGGAUUCCCGGUACUGAAAUUAGGGUUUCCAGA